CUACGGGCUGCAGCAGUGGGGAAUAUUGCACAAUGGGCGCAAGCCUGAUGCAGCCAUGCCGCGUGUAUGAAGAAGGACUUCGGGUUGUAAAGUACUUUCAGCGGGGAGGAAGGGAGUAAAGUUAAUACCUUUGCUCAUUGACGUUACCCGCAGAAGAAGCACCGGCUAACUCCGUGCCAGCAGCCGCGGUAAUACGGAGGGUGCAAGCGUUAAUCGGAAUUACUGGGCGUAAAGCGCACGCAGGCGGUUUGUUAAGUCAGAUGUGAAAUCCCCGGGCUCAACCUGGGAACUGCAUCUGAUACUGGCAAGCUUGAGUCUCGUAGAGGGGGGUAGAAUUCCAGGUGUAGCGGUGAAAUGCGUAGAGAUCUGGAGGAAUACCGGUGGCGAAGGCGGCCCCCUGGACGAAGACUGACGCUCAGGUGCGAAAGCGUGGGGAGCAAACAGGAUUAGAUACCCUUGUAGUC
RNAcentral lists this ribosomal RNA (464 nucleotides) under uncultured bacterium. RNAcentral's name for it is "partial 16S ribosomal RNA". It matches the Rfam family "Bacterial small subunit ribosomal RNA", at positions 339 to 795 of the family's 1533-position model. The record is from RNAcentral.